GCGGGAGUAACUCAGUUGGUAGAGUGCCAGCCUUCCAAGCUGGGAGUCGCGAGUUCGAAUCUCGUCUCCCGCU
Molecule: transfer RNA, 73 nt
Filed under: Deltaproteobacteria bacterium
Lineage: Bacteria; Pseudomonadati; Myxococcota; Myxococcia
Description: tRNA-Gly
Rfam family: tRNA
About the family: Transfer RNA (tRNA) molecules are approximately 80 nucleotides in length. Their secondary structure includes four short double-helical elements and three loops (D, anti-codon, and T loops).
Source: RNAcentral